AGACACUAUACCACCAACAGGUAAGACGAGACACUAUACCACCAACAGGUAAGACGAGACACUAUAGCCACCAACAGGUAAGACGAGACACUAUAGCCACCAACAGGUAAAGCAUCAUGCAGUCUACCACCACCAGAUGAAAGGCUUGGUGGGUCAAAUCGGCCCCAGUUCUCAUAGGCCCCAGUUCUCAUAGACCCCAGUUCUCAUAGACCCCAGUUCUCAUAGGCCCCAGUUCUCAUAGACCCCAGUUCUCAUAGACCCCAGUUCUCAUAGGCCCCAGUUCUCAUAGACCCCAGUUCUCAUAGGCCCCAGUUCUCAUAGACCCCAGUUCUCAUAGGCCCCAGUUCUCAUAGACCCCAGUUCUCACAGGUCCCAAAUCUCAUACUGGGUGCCCCUUGAGGUGAUAUAACUCACGCCUUCAUUAGGUAUUGUGGUUAUCUGUGGUCAGUGUUGUAGCAGAUUAAAACCCUUAUUUUCCUCACCC
This is a long non-coding RNA of Homarus americanus (American lobster), 484 nucleotides long. RefSeq lists it as uncharacterized. The transcript has 3 exons. The record is from RefSeq and is a predicted model, not a curated record. Lineage: Eukaryota; Metazoa; Arthropoda; Malacostraca; Decapoda; Nephropidae.